UCGAGAAUCUUCGGCAAUGGGCGAAAGCCUGACCGAGCGACGCCGCGUGUGGGAUGAAGGCCCUUGGGUUGUAAACCACUGUCAGAGGGGAUGAAGUGCACGUGAGCAAUCUCAUGUGUUUGACAUAGCCUCAGAGGAAGCACGGGCUAAGUUCGUGCCAGCAGCCGCGGUAAUACGAACUGUGCAAACGUUAUUCGGAAUCACUGGGCUUACAGGGUGCGUAGGCGGCUUGUUAAGCAGGGUGUGAAAUCCCUCGGCUCAACCGAGGAAUUGCGCCCUGAACUGGCGAGCUGGAGUGGGAUAGAGGUGUACGGAACUUCCGGUGGAGCGGUGAAAUGUGUUGAUAUCGGAAGGAACGCCUGAGGCGAAAGCGGUACACUGGGUCUCAACUGACGCUGAGGCACGAAAGCCAGGGGAGCGAACG
RNAcentral lists this ribosomal RNA (424 nucleotides) under uncultured Planctomyces sp. RNAcentral's name for it is "partial 16S ribosomal RNA". It matches the Rfam family "Bacterial small subunit ribosomal RNA", at positions 355 to 774 of the family's 1533-position model. Lineage: Bacteria; Pseudomonadati; Planctomycetota; Planctomycetia; Planctomycetales; Planctomycetaceae. The record is from RNAcentral.